GAUGAAGAACGUAGCGAAAUGCGAUAAGUAAUGUGAAUUGCAGAAUUCAGUGAAUCAUCGAAUCUCUGAACGCACAUUGCGCCCCUUGGUAUUCCGAGGGGCAUGCCCGUUCGAGCGUCAUUAUACCCCUCAAGCCUAGCUUGGUGUUGGGGCCUGCUGUUACCGGCAGCCCUUAAAAUCAGUGGCGGUGCCAUCUGGCUCUAAGCGUAGUAAUACUUCUCGCUACAGGGUCCCGGUGGAUGCUUGCCAUCAACCCCUAAUUUUCUAUGGUUGACCUCGGAUCGGGUAGGGAUACCCGCUGAACUUAAGCAUAUCAAUAAGCGGAGGA
RNAcentral lists this unclassified non-coding RNA (328 nucleotides) under soil metagenome. RNAcentral's name for it is "partial contains 5.8S ribosomal RNA, internal transcribed spacer 2, and large subunit ribosomal RNA". The stretch from base 1 to 120 matches the Rfam family "5.8S ribosomal RNA", at positions 35 to 154 of the family's 154-position model. The record is from RNAcentral.